RNAcentral lists this ribosomal RNA (460 nucleotides) under uncultured bacterium. Its description in RNAcentral is "partial 16S ribosomal RNA". It matches the Rfam family "Bacterial small subunit ribosomal RNA", at positions 338 to 795 of the family's 1533-position model. The record is from RNAcentral.
CCUACGGGCGACAGCAGUGAGGAAUAUUGGUCAAUGGACGAGAGUCUGAACCAGCAAAGUAGCGUGAAGGAUGACUGCCCUAUGGGUUGUAAACUUCUUUUAUAUGGGAAUAAAAUGUUCCACGUGUGGGAUUUUGUAUGUACCAUAUGAAUAAGGAUCGGCUAACGCCGUGCCAGCAGCCGCGGUAAUACGGAGGAUCCGAGCGUUAUCCGGAUUUAUUGGGUUUAAAGGGAGCGUAGGUGGAUUGUUAAGUCAGUUGUGAAAGUUUGCGGCUCAACCGUAAAAUUGCAGUUGAAACUGGCAGUCUUGAGUACAGGAGAGGUGGGCGGAAUUCGUGGUGUAGCGGUGAAAUGCUUAGAUAUCACGAAGAACUCCGAUUGCGAAGGCAGUUCACUGGACUGCAACUGACACUGAGGCUCGAAAGUGUGGGUAUCAAACAGGAUUAGAUACCCGUGUAGUC